GGCAAACCACUCUUAGCAUCUGUACCAAGAAAACUCCAAAUGGGAUCACGAAGAGUUGGACACAACGGAACAACAUAAUACUAUACAAAAGCACUUAGCAAAUGCUUUCAUGACUGAUUACAAAAUGAAACUCAUUUUCAAAUAGUUUCUCCAGUUAAAAAAUAAGCUUCUCCUUACAUUGUCAAGGAUCCAUUAAUGGGUGACAUGAAGCUCAAAGAAGUGGCACAAUCCUUAUGUGCAGGUGGGGCAGGGCUUUUCUGAUUAAUAGUAGUUUCCUACACAAGGAACUGAGAGUAGAAAGUUAAAUAACAAUAUAGUAUUUAAAUAUUUGGCUAAAACAGUUUUGUCUUGGGAUACUUGGAAGGGUCUCAAACAGCUCCGUCUUCCUUCCCUUGAGUGGGAUGGAAAAAGCACUAGUACCUAAGAGAUGAUAAGAGAAGAUGGAUAUUGUAAGUAUGACUCUAAAGUUAGCAUCCUCUUAGUUCAGGUUUGAUGUUGGGAUGAAAUAAGGCACUCAUGAGUCACUGAAUAUUAACUGCCCUUGGGGAGCCAGGCAGUAUCACCCAGGCACUCACAGUACCCUCACCCCCACCAUAUUUGUGGGGCUCUUAUCCCAACUCUACCAUCUUGUAAGUCAAGAGGCCAUCUCAUCCCAGCCUACCGAUCAUGCCAAAUGCUCUAAAGCUAGCACCUUCCUAGUUCAGAUUCAGUAUUGGGAGGAAAUGAGACACUUGUGAAUCACUGAACAAAGCAGGUUUACUUUGCCCAAAUCCAGCAAAGAUAUACAACAAGGAUACAGCAGCCCCCCUCCCCUCAUCUAGAAAUGAGUUUGGUCAGUCCUUAGGCAAGCUUCCUGGUAUAGUGACUAUCCAUGAAGUCUGACUUGUGCACUUCAUUGGCCCUAGGCCUGGAGGUGUGUCACAGAAGCUGGAGCCGUGUCACAGAAGCUGGAGCCAAUCAGGUUUCCUGAAGGCAGCAAGCUUCACUAGGGAAGCUGGGACUGAAGGGAGUUGGGGAGAGGUGAGUGAAGUGAUUGGAAUGAAAGCUAUGUCAGGGUAAGAAGGGGGGGCAGCUAUCCAAGCACAAUAGUUUCCAAGGCCAGGAUCAUCAAUCCUGAGGAGCACUAAGCCGGCUUGCUGAAAGGGAUUAUGUGGCUGGGAAUGUAGAUGCAAAGUAGAACCCUGAAAACUUUGGAGACUAUAGAUUAAAAGUGAGUUAGAGCAUUCUUCUCAGCAACAGCAGUAACAGCACCCGGGGAACAAGCAAACCCGAGGGAAAUAGCCAGGUGCCCUAGGACAACAGGAAGAGGAGGCUGGAGAGCACAUGGAGUGGCGCGAGACAAAUGACUGGCAAUUCCAGACUAGAAGCAGUCAUCUGCAAAAGCAGCCUACAUAGCAUAAAAAUGUUUAGAAAUAAUCCUUGGAAUUAAAGAAAUCUGAGAAAGAGAAACUGCCCUCUUACACCUCAAGAAUUUGGAAAAGACCCAUAAGAAGGGACUUUUUUCCUCCCCGAGGACCUUUAAGGCCAAUGCUGCAUUCUGAGUGUCCUGAGCUCUGGCUCCAGUGCUUUCCCUCUGCUUCUGAUCCACCUGAAAACUACUCCCAUCUAGUGGUUUGAAAGUGAGUUUUAUAUUAUCUUUUUCAUCUGCACCCUGAGAAUUUCCUCUCCAUGAAGAGCUUCCAUAAAUGCUGAUGGGAGUCCUGCCCACAGAUGAAGUAAGAGAAAAACAGUGAGCCAGUUACUCUGAGCACACUGAUGCCUCAAACAAGGGUCAUCGAACAAGGAAAGAGAUGCACCCAAGAAGCAUCACCUGCCCUGUCAGUUUGGAGAACUAAAAGUGGGACAAGUGGAUGGUCCCCAAAGGGCUUCUCUGAGGGUUUCAACAAAGAGGAGCUGACAUCUGU
Molecule: non-coding RNA, 1904 nt
Organism: Phascolarctos cinereus (koala)
Lineage: Eukaryota; Metazoa; Chordata; Mammalia; Diprotodontia; Phascolarctidae
Source: RefSeq, a predicted model, not a curated record